Long non-coding RNA from Dermacentor albipictus, 244 nucleotides. RefSeq lists it as uncharacterized. NCBI's taxonomy places the organism in Eukaryota, Metazoa, Arthropoda, Arachnida, Ixodida, Ixodidae. The record is from RefSeq and is a predicted model, not a curated record.
CAAGAAGGCAGCUGCAAGGACUCGAGGAUGUGAAAGAGCCAGUGCAGUGCGACUUCACGUAGUGCAGAGGAACCAAUGCCAAAAAAUCAAAAUACAUUGCCAUGCAAUUUGGACAAGAAAACUAGGACAACCCAGGACGUGCAUUUCUCAGCACCCAGUCAACUGCCAGAAGUGACUCGAACACAGGCCACCAGUGGCACUCGGCUGUACCACUGCAGUGCUGCGGAAAUUGCCACCACCAGCG